GGCACUAUUGACUUGAUCAUGUGAGUGUGUGCAGGUACCACAUCCUCCUUCACAACGGGUACAACCGCCAUCUACCAACCAACAGUGCAUACAUAACAACUUACCAACAACCUUAUCGUGCAGAUUUUAGGUCCGGAUUACCUACCUUAAACAUCUUCUAGAAGAGAGUAUCAAUUAAACUCCUCUUUAACUAACCGGUCUUCUUC
Molecule: long non-coding RNA, 206 nt
Filed under: Trifolium pratense (red clover)
Lineage: Eukaryota; Viridiplantae; Streptophyta; Magnoliopsida; Fabales; Fabaceae
Description: long non-coding RNA (TPRA_LNC000296)
Source: RNAcentral